RNAcentral lists this ribosomal RNA (583 nucleotides) under uncultured bacterium. RNAcentral's name for it is "bacterial SSU rRNA". It matches the Rfam family "Bacterial small subunit ribosomal RNA", at positions 102 to 681 of the family's 1533-position model. The record is from RNAcentral.
ACGGGUGAGUAAUACAUCGGAACAUGUCCUGUAGUGGGGGAUAGCCCGGCGAAAGCCGGAUUAAUACCGCAUACGAUCUACGGAUGAAAGCGGGGGACCUUCGGGCCUCGCGCUAUAGGGUUGGCCGAUGGCUGAUUAGCUAGUUGGUGGGGUAAAGGCCUACCAAGGCGACGAUCAGUAGCUGGUCUGAGAGGACGACCAGCCACACUGGGACUGAGACACGGCCCAGACUCCUACGGGAGGCAGCAGUGGGGAAUUUUGGACAAUGGGCGAAAGCCUGAUCCAGCAAUGCCGCGUGUGUGAAGAAGGCCUUCGGGUUGUAAAGCACUUUUGUCCGGAAAGAAAUCCUUGGCUCUAAUACAGUCGGGGGAUGACGGUACCGGAAGAAUAAGCACCGGCUAACUACGUGCCAGCAGCUGCGGUAAUACGUAGGGUGCGAGCGUUAAUCGGAAUUACUGGGCGUAAAGCGUGCGCAGGCGGUUUGCUAAGACCGAUGUGAAAUCCCCGGGCUCAACCUGGGAACUGCAUUGGUGACUGGCAGGCUAGAGUAUGGCAGAGGGGGGUAGAAUUCCACGUGUAGCAG